Molecule: small nuclear RNA, 106 nt
Organism: Echinops telfairi (small Madagascar hedgehog)
Lineage: Eukaryota; Metazoa; Chordata; Mammalia; Afrosoricida; Tenrecidae
Source: Ensembl
GUGCUUGCUUCGGCAGCACACGUACUAAAAUUGGAACGACACAGAUAAGAUUAGCAUGGCCCCUGUGCAAAGGAUGACACGAAAAUUUGUGGUGUCCCGUAUUGAA